GAAGAAAAGGACAGGGAUCAGAAAAGGAGGAAGAGAAAUGGAAGAGGACAAAGGGAUGGGAAGAAAAGGUUGGAAGAAGUGAAUGGGGGUUGGAAAAGAGGAAGAAAAGGAUGGGGAUCAGAGGAGGAGAAAGAGAAAUGGAAGAGCAGGAUGGGAUAGGAAGAAAAGGAGAAAGAGAAAUGGAAGGGGACGAAGGGAUGGGAAGGACAGGGAUCAGAAAAGGAGAAAGAGAAGUGGAAGAAGAAAGGGUUGGAAGAAAAGGUUGGAAGAAGUGAAUGGGGGUUGAAAAGGAGGAAGGGAUGAGAAGAAAAGGAUGGAAGAAGAGAAUUGGGAAUGAAAAGGAGGAAGGGGUGGGAAGAAAAGGAGAAAGGUAAAUGGAAGAGGACAAAGGGAUGGGAAGAAAAGGACAGGGAUCAGAAAAGGAGAAAGAGAAAUGGAAGAGGAGGAAAAGGUUGGAAGAAAAGGUUGGAAGAAAAGGUUGGAAGAAGUGAAUGGGGGUUGGAAAGAGGAAGAAAAGGAUGGGGAUCAGAGGAGGAGAAAGAGAAAUGGAAGAGGAGGAAAGGGUUGGGAAGAAAAGGUUGGAAGAAGAGAAUUGGGAUUGAAAAACAGGAAGGGAUGAGAAGGAUGGAAGAAGAGAAUUGGGAAUGAAAAGGAGGAAGGGGUGGGAAGAAAAGGAGAAAGAGAAAUGGAAGAGGAGGAAAAAGUUGGAAGAAAAGGUUGGGAGAAGUGAAUGGGGGUUGGAAAAGAGGAAGAAAAGGAUGGGGAUCAGAGGAGGAGAAAGAGGAAUGGAAGAGCAGGAAGGGAUGGGAAGAAAAGGAGAAAGAGAAAUGGAAGAGGAGGAAAGGGUUGGGAAGAAAAGGUUGGAAGAAGAGAAUUGGGAUUGAAAAGGNGGGCUCUGAGGUGUCCCUGGAUCCUUCUCCUCUCCAGCCUGGACAUCCCCAGCCUGAUCCCAGAGCUGUCCCAGCCCCACUCCAGCAGCUCCUCCUGGGCUCAGAACCCCAGAUCUGCAGCAUCCAGGUGGGAUCUCAGGUGGAAGAGGAGGAAAAGGUUGGAAGAAGUGAAUGGGGGUUGGAAAAGAGGAAGAAAAGGACAGGGAUCAGAAAAGGAGGAAGAUAAAUGGAAGAGCAGGAAGGGAUGGGAAGAAAAGGUUGGAAAAAGCUCCUCUCCCAUCCCAGGUGGGCUCUCAGGUAGAAGAGGAGGAAGGGAUGGGAGGAAAAAGUUGGAAGAAGUGAAUGGGGGUUCAAAAAGAGGAAGGGGUUGGAAAAAAGGAUAGGGAUCAGGAAAGGAGAAAGAGAAGUGGAAGAAGAAAGGGUUGGAAGAAAAGGUUGGAAGAAGUGAGUGGAGGCUGAAAAAGUGGAAGAAAAGGAUGGGGAUCAGAGGAGGAGAAAGAGGAAUGGAAGAGGAGGAAAGGGUUGGGAAGAAAAGGUUGGAAGAAGAGAAUUGGGAUUGAAAAGGAGGAAGGGGUGGAAGAAAAGGACAGGGAUCAGAAAA
This 1491-nucleotide long non-coding RNA is filed under the name Zonotrichia albicollis (white-throated sparrow). RNAcentral describes it as "lncRNA (ENSZALG00000003050.1)". Lineage: Eukaryota; Metazoa; Chordata; Aves; Passeriformes; Passerellidae. The record is from RNAcentral.